UACGGAGGGUGCGAGCGUUAAUCGGAUUUACUGGGCGUAAAGCGUGCGUAGGCGGCAUGUUAAGUCGGAUGUGAAAUCCCAGGGCUUAACCUUGGAACUGCAUCCGAAACUGGCAAGCUAGAGAUCGGUAGAGGUUGGUGGAAUUCCCGGUGUAGCGGUGAAAUGCGUAGAUAUCGGGAGGAACAUCGAUGGCGAAGGCAGAACGACUGGCGGA
RNAcentral lists this ribosomal RNA (214 nucleotides) under uncultured bacterium. Its description in RNAcentral is "partial 16S ribosomal RNA". It matches the Rfam family "Bacterial small subunit ribosomal RNA", at positions 524 to 737 of the family's 1533-position model. The record is from RNAcentral.